Molecule: non-coding RNA, 865 nt
Organism: Camelina sativa (false flax)
Lineage: Eukaryota; Viridiplantae; Streptophyta; Magnoliopsida; Brassicales; Brassicaceae
Source: RefSeq, a predicted model, not a curated record
GCAAUUACUUGCACACAACUAAUUGGUGAAUCAUCGAUUUUUUGCUUUUGUCGUAAUUAGUGAAUCAUCGUUUACAUUCCGCCUUUCAAAACCUGUAUCAUCGUGGUAAAUUCACACAUAUAAAAUAGGCAUCAACGUACGGCCUAUAUAUGGAGUAUUUUUCUUGGCACUAUAUUCCAAGCGGCGUCGUGUUUGAAGUGGAAUUAUACUUUGAGGUUAGAACAAGUCGGCCAUCGUUUUAUCACUAGCCGAUGUUUGAAGCGCAAAAGUUCUGCUAAUACAUACAAAGGGAACGGUCACGAAACAACACCAACAUUGGAAGUAUCGUAAAUGGAGUAUGAUUGUCAUACUAUUGGAUAGUUUAACUACGUGGGGAAUCAUAUAUACAGACAAAAGAAAUCGAAACUAUGCUUACGGACACCAUACCACAUGUUGGUUGAAAAAAAUAGCAUAUGUGAAGUUCACACUGAUUAAGAAACCAACCAUAAGAUGAUGGAAGAGGACUCGUCGAGGAUAGACAGUGAGUGUUAUUGACAGUUAAAACUUAAAAGGCAUGGGCUGGGGCCACAUGUGACCCAAUAAGGAAGUAGAUGAUGUCAUAGUCUACGUCAGAUGCCGUCACCAAAUUUAUGCGGCUCCUUUUGCUUUGAAGUCAACCUUCUUAAGAACAGUUCUUUGCUAGAUUUAUAAUUUAAUUGAGCCCCUAAUUUUAUUCCAUAACUUGCGGUCCACAUUAUAUUAUUGUAUUGUCAAUUUUGUUAUGUGAUAAGUGAUUCUUAUCCAGUUUCCGUUAUUUAUUAUUCAUGCGAUAUAAGUAAUACAAUAAUACCAUAGGUUGAUUCUAGAAUUUGUUUUGGAAGUCGAU